RNAcentral lists this ribosomal RNA (533 nucleotides) under uncultured bacterium. RNAcentral's name for it is "partial 16S ribosomal RNA". It matches the Rfam family "Bacterial small subunit ribosomal RNA", at positions 28 to 523 of the family's 1533-position model. The record is from RNAcentral.
GACGAACGCUGGCGGCGUGCCUAAUACAUGCAAGUCGAACGAAGCUGUUUUGACGGUGCUUGCACCUAAUUGACGAGACAUUGGAAUGAGUGGCGGACGGGUGAGUAACACGUGGGUAACCUGCCCAGAUGCGGGGGAUAACAUUUGGAAACAGAUGCUAAUACCGCAUAAAAGUCAAAACCACAUGGUUUUGAUUUAAAAGAUGGCCUUUGUGCUAUCACUUCUGGAUGGACCCGCGGCGUAUCAGCUAGUUGGUAAGGUAAUGGCUUACCAAGGCAAUGAUACGUAGCCGAACUGAGAGGUUGAUCGGCCACAAUGGGACUGAGACACGGCCCAUACUCCUACGGGAGGCAGCAGUAGGGAAUCUUCCACAAUGGGCGCAAGCCUGAUGGAGCAACACCGCGUGAGUGAAGAAGGGUUUCGGCUCGUAAAACUCUGUUGUUAAAGAAGAACGUAUCUAAGAGUAACUGCUUAGGUAGUGACGGUAUUUAACCAGAAAGCCACGGCUAACUACGUGCCAGCAGCCGCGGUAA